CCUACGGGAGGCAGCAGUGGGGAAUAUUGGACAAUGGGCGCAAGCCUGAUCCAGCAAUGCCGCGUGAGUGAUGAAGGCCUUAGGGUCGUAAAGCUCUUUUACCAGGGAUGAUAAUGACAGUACCUGGAGAAUAAGCUCCGGCUAACUCCGUGCCAGCAGCCGCGGUAAUACGGAGGGAGCUAGCGUUGUUCGGAAUUACUGGGCGUAAAGCGUACGUAGGCGGUUAUUCAAGUCAGAGGUGAAAGCCCGGGGCUCAACCCCGGAACGGCCUUUGAAACUAGGUAGCUAGAAUCUUGGAGAGGUCAGUGGAAUUCCGAGUGUAGAGGUGAAAUUCGUAGAUAUUCGGAAGAACACCAGUGGCGAAGGCGACUGACUGGACAAGUAUUGACGCUGAGGUACGAAAGCGUGGGGAGCAAACAGGAUUAGAUACCCUGGUAGUCCACGCCGUAAACGAUGAUAACUAGCUGUUCGGGCACUUGGUGCUUGAGUGGCGCNGCUACGACAUUAAGUUAUUCCGUCCGUCGGGGUAGGUACGGUCGGCGAAGAAUUAAAACUUAACAAAGGAAAGUUAGUACGGCGUGAGACGUGCGAAGGACGACGACGAGGGAGGUAGG
Molecule: ribosomal RNA, 614 nt
Filed under: uncultured bacterium
Lineage: Bacteria
Description: bacterial SSU rRNA
Rfam family: Bacterial small subunit ribosomal RNA (bases 1-519)
Source: RNAcentral